Molecule: non-coding RNA, 75 nt
Organism: Heteronotia binoei (common prickly gecko)
Lineage: Eukaryota; Metazoa; Chordata; Lepidosauria; Squamata; Gekkonidae
Source: the annotation of a RefSeq genome assembly
GGAGAGAGUGUGGCUCAGUGGUAGAGCAUCUGCUUGACACACAGAAGGCCCCAGGUUCAAUCCCUGACAUCUCCA